AGCAGCAAAAAGUUAAAGGGGUUACAGAGUGGGUAAAUGUUUGCCGGGUAGAAUAAGAGAGCCCUUUGUAACCUCUCAUGUUAAUUUGAUAUUAGAAAAAGUCUCCGAUUCACCAACAGAGAAGCCAAAAUUGUAGAUCAGAAAUAAUUUUCUGCUUUAAAAUUUUUCAUCUUAAAUAGUUUCUCAACAUUAAAAAGAUUAAAAGUCCCGCAUAUUAAGUUUUCAGUAACGCAUAAACAGACCCAGUGAAAGAGUGAACACAGAUUCAUUGAAGCUAAAAAUACAAUGUAACCUAACUUAAGAAGCUAGAGCUGAUUUAUUUGACAAUGCAUGGUUGAUAUCGACAACAUAAUUCUCUUUGCCCUCUGUUUAAUCACUUAUUCAUGCGUAACGGUCAUUCAAAGAUAGCUCAACAUUUAUCUGAAGUUGCUAUUUACCGAUUGCAGUUGAAAUCCCCAAGUCAAAUCAUCUCCCUUCUCAUCAAUUAGGGGUACAUUACUUUUAUUUGGAAAAACGGGCGCGUUAGGGCACGACUUUAAGAAAGCUAAUGAUAACACAAAAUCACUAUUGUUGUCACUGCCACCUGCCCUUUUAUCGUAUUUCAAGUUGGCAAAGGAUCUUUGCUUGUGUUCGCUUGUUCACGUGUCUGGUACGAUCCAUUGAGAGACGGGAGACUUGUUUUGAUAGCAGUCUGUUUUGAAAACACCGUAGUGGCAGUCCGCAUGCAAAUCACCUAGGGGAUUGCAGAACAAGGCAGCUCGAAUAUUUUAAAUUGGUCGUAGCCAGUAGCAGCUAUUUUGUGGAAAUGGAGGCAAAUGAAGGCGAAGAGGACGAUACAGUGAGGUUUGUAGACGACAGGAUUACCAGUAUUCCGACCAAAUGCGUGGCCGAUGCACGUGCUUUCCAAAGAGUGCAGCGUACACGAAGCUAUAGUUGUUGUGAGAACCCACACAGAUAUGAUCGCCCCCAACCCGAUCAGGGCGAAGAACUGUUUGAAAGACGACCUCGAAGUAAUAGUGAACCCUUGAAAGUACCCAGGACAAAAUCACAGGCAAGACGUUCACAAGUGAGGUUUCUUACCCCGUUCUCACAAAAAGAUUUGGAAGGUCUAUCUGAUGUGAUUGCUGGCGGUAAAAACAAAAUGAAAGCCAUUGACCUUGACUUUAUUGGUUUACCAGUUAAUGCUCGGCGAACUGAGAGGCUAGAGGAUUUAGAAGAGGUGUCUGAAGACACCGAGGAGGUUCGCGACUUGAGGCUAAGCCAUUUUGAAAAGGCCUUAGCGGAAGGCCGUCUGAAACUGAAAAGUGAUCGUAUUUGGAGAUACAAAAAGCAUCGUAAAGGCUUCAACAGCCAGCCUGUAGAGGAAUGGCUCUACAAUAACAAUAGCGAUAUGAUAUCCGCCCCAUUCAAGAGUGCAUAUUAAAACUGAAAUAAUAUUAGUAACGAAAUGUUGUACAUAAUUUUUUCCGUUAGUUUAUGCCUUUGACAUGAAUAUUGGGUCUUCCUUGAAGGGACAUUUCGCUACGAUUAUGAGGGCCUUUUCACUUGCAAGGUGAGAAAACUAACAUCUUUUCAUCAGCUAAUUGUUAAAAACAAGCAACAAUUUCGCGCUAGGGACAAAUACAAUUUAUAUUGUUCUUAAAUUGUUCAAAUUCUUUUGUGUAGAUAAUAUUGUAUAUAUUUGGUAGUUUGAUUGCAACAGAAAUGUAAAAACCAAUGAAGAUGUCUAGGUAUCACCCCCCUGAAUCGAAAUAGGAAACCAAGCCAUAUUUGAAUAUUCAAUAAUAUGAGAGCAAAAAUACUUUCUUUUGAAAACAGUUUCAGUCUUUAUAUUUUGACGGUUGUAUGUAACAAAUUUUGUUCUUUGCUCAAAUAUCGUUUGUAUUUGCUUUUGAGUUCGGAUGGCAUUUAAUCGUUGUUGUUAAAAACUAUGUUUUUGAAACACAGUAACAUUGUUGUUGGGUUUAAUGAAUGUAUUUUCCCGUUGUCGUUGUUUGAAUAUUGUAUUAAAUGAUAAUGUAGAACAAGAUCAUAGUAAAUUGUCUUGGAUUUAUAAAACUCGUUGUGGUUUAAUAAUGACGUAUAAACAUUUAUUUCUUUGCAGAAAUCGCUUUCCUCUUUGGAUAUUGGUCUUCAAAAAACGAUCAUAGAGCCAUGUGGAUUCCCCCCGAACCCCCCCCCCCCGUCAAUAUUCCCUCUAUUCCGAAAUGUGCCCUUAAAACCUAGUAUAUAUUUGCACCAGCGCAGGAAAGCAGGGGCUGUAAAGAGCAUUAUAGGUUUGGGAAUGGGGCUAUCACUACUUCCGCUUUCGAAGUUCCUACAGAAGAAUUGAAGCGGAUAAAUCUAAAAAAACCGCGAUACUAGAAUCAAAGAUUUUUUUAUUUUCAAAUACAUAAACAAAAUAUUAAAAUGAAAUGUGAUGCCUUCGGUGGAUGAAGUGGAUUAGACAAGAACAAUAUAACGAACAAGGUUCGCAUGUGAUUGGUUCUCUACAAACGAUAGCUAGAGCGUAGGUCUUGUGUGAAUAAUUUGGAGCUUGUACAUUAUAACUGUCAACGUCAUAAGCUUGUCAAAACUAGACUAAUGUUUGGGCAGAGAGUCCCCAAGAAAACAGGAAGUCCCCAAGAAGCCUUUCUGUCUACUGGAAACACUUGAAACCAAAAAGGGCGACGGGUUCAUCGUUAAUCAAGAAAAUUCAGAUUUUCAUUCUAAAAGUAUUUUUCUCUAUUCUAAACAAGUUUCACGCCGCGUUUAUUUUCGGCCAGUAAAUCUACAAUGACUGCCAAAAGUACUUGGAACACCUAGCAAUUUACGCUGCAUUUGAUAUCUUUCAUUCCUUUCAUGAAAAAAAAUUGCUACUUCCGCCCCCUUCCCCCUAUAACAAUGUUGAUGAUUUUAGAGAAAUAUCAUAAAAGAAGCGCAAAAGAAAGUGCUUCCCAAAAUCCUAACCCGCUUGAUAGUAAACCAACAUUGUUCUGUAGGGGAGAGGGGGAUGAUUGAUUUUGACCUUGGAAAUUGAUGUCAGUGUUCCAAGACUUUUGGCAGGCAUUGUAGGCUAGGCAGCAUUUGAAAAGAAGGCACCUACAUUCUGCACCUACAUUCUGCACAUAUAUUCUUUUCCGGCUCUUUUUCAACAGAAAUAUGCAUAGGCUUGAAUCAAGAGAUGCUUAAGUCAUUUUAAAUUCGAAUUUAGGGAGAGAGAAAUGUAUCAAGGGAAGAUGAAAGUAUAAGAGUGAAGUUUAAUCAGAUAAAAAACGGUUUGCCUUUGUCAGUCCAUCAUUGAUGGUUUUUCUUCAAAGAUUCUUAAGCCAGCAGUUUAAAUACCAGUGAAUAACCUGUAAACAUCUCCAGUCUUAGUCGAAAAACCGAAAAAGCAUCUUGAAUAUCGCGAUAAUUUCUUAUAGAAAUGGGAAAAGUAAAGAGGAUUGUAUAAAUACUGCCAAGAUGUUCAAACAGAGGUUUGCUAAUUUUUAAGUUUGUUUAGCAAAAAAUACGAUAGAGAACGGCCUAGAUCUAAAAGGGACAGAAGGCAGAUGCUUAAAUGCAGAAGCCGAGAUUCGGGUAUAAAAUAUUAUGAGGUAAUUGUGGUAUAACAAAUACAAAGUGAUAUGGUUCAAUGUAACAGUACUUAUUGUGGUUUAGGAAAACUUUUCCUAUAAAACAAACACAAAGAUCACUUUGCACGGAGUUAUAAGGCCCUCUUUUAUUAACUCUGUUUUGCCCACCUCAUUGACUUUACCAUAGAGUUCUGAGAGAUGACGUCAUAAAAACCAGUUAUUAGAAUAUUGGAUACUGGACAACAUAACUUGAAAAAUUAUUACCUAAAAAUGUGAAAAUAUCAGUCGACGGUGCAUCAAACUGGUACCAAAUUUGAGUCAUUUCAGUCAAUUUUAGAAGUAUUUCAUCGUUUGUUUUGAAUAGGUGAUCAGAAGUCAAUUAGAUUUUUUCAAUAAUGUCAAAUUUAAGAACUUUACUGCCAUUGGAUUUGUUUGCGACGGGGGGAUGAUGAAGAGCAAGUUGAUACUGAAGACUUGAAAACAACCUUCUGGAGAGCAUGCAAAAGUUUUCGAUAGAAUAACAAGCCGAUUUAACGCCAAUUCAAAAAACAGUGUUUGACAAUGUUUAUCCGAUUAUCGAUGCAAAGCAGAUUGGAUAGUGACGUAAAUCUAAACAUCUGUUUUCUAAACACUGAAUAAAAAAUGCACAGGAGAACACAGUCAUAUUUGUACAAAGUGUACGUUGUAUCGCGCGUUAAACGACAUAAUUAUUAAUCUCACAAGCAAUCUCCAGCUCGUUUCUAGAGCAGCAUGAAAACAUCGUAUUUAAAACUACUACUGCCGAUGUAAAUAGGGCUUAGGUAUUACAACUUCAACAGGUUUCGAUUUGUGUUAUUCGACCUUGACAAGGUUCAACUAUUUAUGACAUUAUGAGCGAAAUCUGACUAGCUGAUCGGCUAGGUGAGAUAGCAUUCGCUUCCGAGUUGACGUCAUUGAUUUUUUUAUCUCCCUAUUUACAUACCUUUUUCAAAGACGGACCUCAGAUUUGAAAUUCUCGUGGUAAAUAUUGCCUGAAUGAGGAAUUUCGUGUCGUUUUGACUGCCCAGUCACGAAAUAAUACGUUUUGAACAUAAAGACAUAAAGAUUAAAUUUGAAAACGACGUAAUUCAUGACCUGUCUGUCCAAGAAACAUGAAAUUUUCGACACAGUGUGUUUUGAACAUGAAGAUUCCAACUCUUUAGUCCAUUAUUGGUAAAUAUGAAGAUAAAAAAUUGACAUUGCCAACUCGGAACUAUGAACAGCAGGAAAAAUACAGACCAAAAGGCUUUAACCAAAAUUGACGGACUGAAUAUUAAGAUCUGCAUCAUUCAAUUGGCAUCAAAACAAAAUUGUUAGGGAGAUGCAGAUUGCUACAACAACAAAUUGAAAUAAAGGAUUUGCCAAUAGGAUUUAGCAACAGUGAAGGAGGCAGCAAAGGGGGGCCGACAAAGGCAAGAGGGUCCUUCUUUUUAGAAUCAUUUUCCAGUAAACGGAGGUAGCAUUUUUGAUGAAGAGAACGGAUAGCAGUUUAAAUGAUUCUUGAUCGUAAUUACCCUGGGUACCAGAGCCUCAUGAAUUCAGGGAUAAUAUGUAUCCUCGCUCAAAAACAUUUUUCUGAAGCUCGUCAGGGAAUCGAUCGCGGUGUCGUUGAAGUAAUUAUUGAUAAAGUUUGGUAACGCUGAUAUAAACAAUAGAGUAUUUAGAUACUGAGGAGGAGAACCCCAGAAGCAGGAUAGGAUAUUCUCCGUAAAAGGCAACAGAAAUUAUACAGCUUUUUGAGUUUCACGGCGGCUUCAUUUGCAGAAAGAAAUUGGCCAGUUAAAUCAUUCAAUACGGUUUUUGAGCCAAUAGAUCUACUCGUCCACCUGCAAAGCUCUUGAUGGGAAGAAAUAUUAGAACGGAAUUACCAGAGCACACAGAUACUCAAGUCAACAAAGAUUGAAAAGAAUGAGAUAAAAUGAAGAAGAGAAAGAAGAAGGAAUAUGCAGAUAGAUAAGUUAUGUCGCUAUUCGAUCCAACCAUACACAAUCACACAAAGAAUUGGCUCUAUGAUUACUGCAAGCAGACAUGGAAAGAGUAUUACAAGGAGUGUGUCGUUCUUUAAAAGAAAAAGUCUAAAAGAGUAAUUCUUAAAUCUCUCCUACUUUCUAAAAGCAGACUCUUAAAACAUUAGGCCAUGAUAAAAGAAGAGGGUAUACCCAAAAACGUCCAGUUAUGAUUUUUCUGUUGCAUUACUAUUCGCGGACAAUAGACAGAUCACAUGAAGCUACCUUGUACUGGUCUUGGAAACGGUUACGUCAACGGUCAGUUGUAAACAGUGAUAAACAAACUCACAUGAGAUCAUAGUCACCUGUUUACUGUGACUCAAUGCCUUCAAAGUGUAUUAGCAAAGGUUGAAGCUGGAAUUAGCUAAACGCAUAAAGAUCUAAAUAUAGAUCAAGUGUAUCAUCCAAUGGCAGAGCAGUGAAAACAAACAACAUCAUCCCCCAACAAACAAUAUAAUGCCUCAACAGCUUGUUUUUUAGAUCCAUCUUAUCAUUGCAUCAAUAUUUUACGCGGAGACCUGAACAAUUAAAUAUACCGAAAAUCCUUGAAAUGGCCAGCUCCUCAAAAAAGCCCCCCUCGAAUAAGCCCCCACUCUAGAACUACAAAUUGUCAAUAAGCCGCCUCCCCUCGAGUAAGCUCCCACUGCUACCGUAAAUCCUCGAAUUGCCCCCCCCCCGACUUGUUGAUUAUUGCCAUUUGAGGUUGUCUUUGGUGCUUUAUCAAACUACCACAAAAAUUCAUACUUUUGGUAAUAAUUGAUUAAAUGCUAAUAAAGAAAUUCCUACUCAAAUAUACAAGAUCUUUUAAUAAUGUCUUCUUGAUAGCUACUUUAUUUUUAUAAGCUCCCCUCUUAUAAGCCCACCCUCGAAUAGCCCCCCAUCCAAAAAUAUCAACAAUAAAUAAGCCCCGAGGAUCACGGUAUUGUAGUUUUGCCUCCGUUACGCCCGAUUAAAAAUAAAGAAGGAAGCAGGAAAUGGUUUCUCGACUCACCUGGUCAGUUGCUAGGUAUCCAGAGAAAGCAAACAUUAUCCAGUUGAAGACUAUCCGCAGCCUGAAAAAAUACAGUUUGUUAGCAACGUGCCAUGUAACAAAAUAUGAACUGAGAAGGCACGCAGCUUGGCACAAUAUCGUGAUGCAAGAAAGCCUUAAAUACAAAAUAUGAGCAUUAAAUACAAAAUAGGACAAACCUAGGAAAACAAGAAAAAUCUAUGUUUGAAUAUGUGCUUUAAAGAAAUUGAAUCUACUCACGGCUGGCCACCAAUAUCCAAUAUAUGCUUAAACAGCCAUGGUUCGUGAGACUGGAGCAGAUUCUCAAACAAUGAGCAUAAAGCUAGUACUCCCUGUAAGAACAAAGCUGUGCAUAAGGUUUUCUGGCGAGAGAUUUUUUUAGAAUGUUCGUUCCGUCAAGAAGGUUUAGUCACCGCAGUGGAAGAUUGUUAACUUUUGUACACGUGGCAUUGUUUUCUAACACUGAUGCAACGAUAACAGUUCAAAAAAUAAAUAGCUUUUAAGAGAAGAAUAAAACAGUCGAAAAGUUGAAAAGGCAUCACAUAUACAUGUAAACAUAAAUUAAUGGACAAUGUAAAAUAAAGGAUACUUCAAGCAGGAAGCGAAUCAUUACAUUGUUAUAUUAUUCUGUACAGGUAGCCUCCAGACAACGAACACCGCACCAUAACAGAGGGUGGCAAUGUUCUACUCAAUGUCCAUUCUAUAAAAAUUGCACUAUAUGUAGUAAUAGGUUAAGCUUGCCAGUCAAAAAAAUUCAAAAUUCAAAUGAAAAUGAGUCUCAUUUGUUGAGCUGCAAAAUAUCUGUGUCCUCAUUCUACUUUAUCAUGCUUCAUUUUACAAAUACCAGCGGCCUAUUAUUUAUUAAUGUACAAAAAUGCAGAAAUUAACUAUGUAACAAACAAACAACAAUGAAGG
Rhopilema esculentum is the source of this 7505-nucleotide non-coding RNA. Lineage: Eukaryota; Metazoa; Cnidaria; Scyphozoa; Rhizostomeae; Rhizostomatidae. The record is from RefSeq and is a predicted model, not a curated record.